Molecule: long non-coding RNA, 856 nt
Organism: Bubalus bubalis (water buffalo)
Lineage: Eukaryota; Metazoa; Chordata; Mammalia; Artiodactyla; Bovidae
Exons: 2
Source: RefSeq, a predicted model, not a curated record
CCAGGGGAACUUCCCAACCCAGAGAUUGAACCCGGGUCUCCUGCAUUGCAGGUCCUUUAGCUAGAUGCACAAACUUCUUUAGAUGGCAGCUAUCAUCCUAGAAGACAAUGGGAACCUCAAGAUUUGAAUACCCAAGAAUCAGAAAUCCUAGAAUGUUAUUUUUGUCACAUUUUUUGGUCAAAGAGUCCAAAAGCCAGCCAGAUCAAGGGGAGUGAAAAACAGAAGAGAUAGCAGCAAAGUCACACUGCAAAAAGGACAGGAAUUGCUGUAAUAACUUUUGGAAAUAAUCUGUUGUCACAACCUUAUGUCCCGGUUUGAGAGUCCUGGGUUGUUCCUGUUGUUUUGAUAUAAUUAUUAUACAGCAUCUUUACUCUCCAAAAUAUACCUAUUUAGAUGGUCAUCUUGUAUCUGAGAUAUAUUUCUAUAAACAUGCAUUUACUUUAUAACACACAAAUGUAAUCAGGCAAUAUCAAACAUUUGAAAGAGGAUGGAUUUGAGGCUCCAUCAGAACUUGCUAGCUUGUGUGACUUUAGACAAGUCAAGAAAGCUUUCAGUCUAUACAUAUAUCACAGUUGUAGUAAACAUUGAUUAGAAAAUAGAACUAUAGCACUUAAAAGGAAGGCUGGCCUAUAACAGGAGUUGUCAAAUUACUUUAAUCUUAUAAAUCAUAGACAAUGAUAAAAGCAUGGAAGUAGCAAUAUAUAAAUGAAAACAACUGGAUAAAAAGAGUAUUUUUAUUAGUUUUAUGAAGCAAAUAUUUAGAUUAUCUUGUUUAAGCAUCAUUACGUAGCCCUUGUAUUCUAGUAGUAAACUGUAUAUGUAUGUGUAUUUGCAGGGCCUAGUUUUUCAUUCUAUU